Molecule: ribosomal RNA, 468 nt
Filed under: uncultured bacterium
Lineage: Bacteria
Description: partial 16S ribosomal RNA
Rfam family: Bacterial small subunit ribosomal RNA
Source: RNAcentral
GACGAACGCUGGCGGCGUGCUUAACACAUGCAAGUCGAACGGAAAGGCCCUGCUUUUGUGGGGUGCUCGAGUGGCGAACGGGUGAGUAACACGUGAGUAACCUGCCCUUGACUUUGGGAUAACUUCAGGAAACUGUGGCUAAUACCGGAUAGGAUCUCCUGCUGCAUGGUGUGGUUUGGAAAGUUUCGGCGGUUGGGGAUGUACUCGCGGCUUAUCAGCUUGUUGGUGGGGUAGUGGCUUACCAAGGCUUUGACGGGUAGCCGGCCUGAGAGGGUGACCGGCCACAUUGGGACUGAGAUACGGCCCAGACUCCUACGGGAGGCAGCAGUGGGGAAUAUUGCACAAUGGGCGGAAGCCUGAUGCAGCAACGCCGCGUGCGGGAUGACGGCCUUCGGGUUGUAAACCGCUUUCGCCUGUGACGAAGCGUGAGUGACGGUAAUGGGUAAAGAAGCACCGGCUAACUACGUG